CACUAUGCCUGGCCCUAAACAUUGAUAGUUAAAUACACUCACUAUCCGCCCGGGAACUACGAGCAAAACUUGAAACCCAAAGGACUUGGCGGUGCUUUAGACCCAUCUAGAGGAGCCUGUCCUAGAACCGAUAAUCCCCGUUCAACCUUACCUUUUCUUGUUUAUUCCGCCUAUAUACCGCCGUCGUCAGCUUACCCUCUGAAGGUCAUGUAGUAAGCAAAGUUAGUAUUAACCCCAUACGUCAGGUCGAGGUGUAGCUUAUGUUAAGGAAAGAGAUGGGCUACAUUUACUAUUUUUAGUAAACUACGAACGAUGCCUUGAAACUCCGCAUCUGAAGGUGGAUUUAGUAGUAAGCAGAAAGCAGUGAGUUCUGCUGAAACUUGGCUCUGAAGCGCGCACACACCGCCCGUCACUCUCCCCAAAUAAACGCUCUGACUAAAAUUAUAAAGCCAAGAAUAGUAAGGGGAGGCAAGUCGUAA
RNAcentral lists this ribosomal RNA (479 nucleotides) under Pseudanthias randalli (Randall's fairy basslet). RNAcentral's name for it is "partial small subunit ribosomal RNA". It matches the Rfam family "Bacterial small subunit ribosomal RNA", at positions 788 to 1491 of the family's 1533-position model. Lineage: Eukaryota; Metazoa; Chordata; Actinopteri; Perciformes; Anthiadidae. The record is from RNAcentral.